Molecule: small RNA, 210 nt
Filed under: Arabidopsis thaliana (thale cress)
Lineage: Eukaryota; Viridiplantae; Streptophyta; Magnoliopsida; Brassicales; Brassicaceae
Description: ATSL282520
Source: RNAcentral
AUAUUUUGAUUGUUAUAUCUAAGAUUUCACCAGUGGUCCACCGUCUCGUAUUAGUAUCGACUCAAACUCGUCCUAUCAUCUAAUCUCGUUCAGUAAAACUAAACAAAUCUAAUGGAUUUUACUCGUGGUAUACCGUCUCGUAUUACUGUCGAUCCCUACCAUCUAACCCUGUUCAGUGAAAUUAAACAUUUUAUUUUUGUUAUUUUUAUU